RNAcentral lists this ribosomal RNA (957 nucleotides) under Mansonella perstans. RNAcentral's name for it is "16S ribosomal RNA". The record is from RNAcentral. Lineage: Eukaryota; Metazoa; Nematoda; Chromadorea; Rhabditida; Onchocercidae.
AUUUUUUUUUUUUUAUUUUUUAGUAUUGCAUACUGGUAGAAUAAUAUGUCAUUUUUAUGAAUUAUAGAAAUAAAUUGUUUAAAAUUGGAUUUUUUUUGUUUUUACGAAAUUAGGUAUAUCCAGUUUGGUUAUUGAUAAGACGUAUUUUUAUUUCUGUUUUUUAUUUUUUAUUGUUUAAGUUAUAUCUCUAUUAGGUUUGGUUUUAAUUUUUUUAUUUUAUUAAUGUUUUUUUGUUUUUUAUAUUUUUUGUUGUUUUUUUUUUUUGUUAUGGUUAAUUUUGUAAUCAUUUUAUAAUUUUUACUUUAGUAAAAUUUGUUUCUGUGGAUGUUUUUGGUUUUGAAUUUUGUUUUUGAACUAAAUUUGUUGUUAAAUGUUUAUUAAAAACUUAGGUUUUUUUUUAAAGUUGUCUUCUGCUCAAUGAGUAUUUAAAUGGCAGCCUUAGCGUGAUGGCAUAAAAGUAGCGUAAGUGAUUUGUUUUUUUAAUGUUUUCAAGUAUGAAUGAAGUUUUUAGCAAUUUUUUUGUUGUCUUUUUUUUUGAAUUAUUUUUUUUAUUAAAAAUUAUGGAUUUUAGUAUUACAAAGAUAAGUCUUCGGAAAUUUUUUUUUAGAUUAGCUAUUUUUUUUGUUUUCUAAAUUUUUCUUGGGGAUGGAUUUUAGAAAAUUUUUACACUAUUAAUAUUUUUAAAAAUUACUUCGGAGUUAACAGGGUUGUGGACAUAUAAAUAGUUUUUAUAUUAUUAUGCUGCGCUACAUCGAUGUUGUAUAUUUUUUAGUGAGGGGGAGAGAAUUUUUUUAGUUUGAGACUGUUCUUCUUGUAUAAAAAUUAAACUUGAUAUUAGUUUAGUUCGUCGUGAGACAGAGCGGUUUAUCUUGUAUAUUUUUUUUUUUAUUGGUGUUAGUACGAAAGGAAAGUUAUGAAGGCUAAUAUUUAUGGCUUUUGUAUUUUUAUGGAUUUAUU